This 465-nucleotide ribosomal RNA is filed under the name uncultured bacterium. Its description in RNAcentral is "partial 16S ribosomal RNA". It matches the Rfam family "Bacterial small subunit ribosomal RNA", at positions 28 to 507 of the family's 1533-position model. The record is from RNAcentral.
GACGAACGCUGGCGGCGUGCUUAACACAUGCAAGUCGAACGGAAAGGCCCCUUUGGGGGUACUCGAGUGGCGAACGGUUGAGUAACACGUGAGUAACCUGCCCUUGACUUCGGGAUAACUUCAGGAAACUGGGGCUAAUACCGGAUAGGAAUCCUUGCUGCAUGGUGGGGGUUGGAAAGCUUCGGCGGUUUUGGAUGGACUCGCGGCUUAUCAGCUUGUUGGUGGGGUAGUGGCUUACCAAGGCUUUGACGGGUAGCCGGCCUGAGAGGGCGACCGGCCACAUUGGGACUGAGAUACGGCCCAGACUCCUACGGGAGGAAGCAGUGGGGAAUAUUGCACAAUGGGCGGAAGCCUGAUGCAGCAACGCCGCGUGCGGGAUGACGGCCUUCGGGUUGUAAACCGCUUUCAGCAGGGGCGAAGCUUGUGGUGACGGUACCUGCAGAAGAAGCACCGGCUAACUACGUG